RNAcentral lists this ribosomal RNA (301 nucleotides) under uncultured bacterium. RNAcentral's name for it is "partial 16S ribosomal RNA". It matches the Rfam family "Bacterial small subunit ribosomal RNA", at positions 509 to 807 of the family's 1533-position model. The record is from RNAcentral.
CAGUCGCCACGGGAAUACGAAGGGGGCUAGCGUUGCUCGGAAUUACUGGGCGUAAAGGGAGCGUAGGCGGAUGUUUAAGCCAGAGGUGAAAGCCCAGGGCUCAACCUUGGAACUGCCUUUGAUACUGGACAUCUUGAGUGUGGGAGAGGUAUGCGGAACUCCGAGUGUAGAGGUGAAAUUCGUAGAUAUUCGGAAGAACACCAGUGGCGAAGGCGGCUUACUGGCCCAUUAUUGACGCUGAGGCUCGAAAGCGUGGGGAGCAAACAGGAUUAGAUACCCGCGUAGUCCCUGUCUCUUAUAC